GUUGAAACACUGGUUCUCAUAGCAUCACUGAAGUUAAGCAACAUGAGACAGGUCAGUACCUAGAUGGAUGACCACUUGGGAAUACCAGGUGCUGUAAG
This is a non-coding RNA of Acanthosepion pharaonis, 98 nucleotides long. Lineage: Eukaryota; Metazoa; Mollusca; Cephalopoda; Sepiida; Sepiidae. The record is from the annotation of a GenBank genome assembly.